UGAAAGACCGUUCCCGUACGAUCACCGAAGUUAAGCAUCGUCGAGCCUGGUCAGUACCUAGAUGGGCGACAACUUGGAAAUAUCAGGUGCUGA
Non-coding RNA from Acanthosepion pharaonis, 93 nucleotides. The record is from the annotation of a GenBank genome assembly. NCBI's taxonomy places the organism in Eukaryota, Metazoa, Mollusca, Cephalopoda, Sepiida, Sepiidae.